This 253-nucleotide ribosomal RNA is filed under the name uncultured bacterium. RNAcentral describes it as "partial 16S ribosomal RNA". It matches the Rfam family "Bacterial small subunit ribosomal RNA", at positions 524 to 776 of the family's 1533-position model. The record is from RNAcentral.
UACGUAGGUGGCAAGCGUUGUCCGGAUUUACUGGGCGUAAAGAGCGCGCAGGCGGUCGUUCAAGUCGAGUGUGAAAGCCCCCGGCUCAACUGGGGAGGGUCACGCGAUACUGAUCGACUCGAAGGCAGGAGAGGGUAGUGGAAUUCCCGGUGUAGUGGUGAAAUGCGUAGAUAUCGGGAGGAACACCAGUGGCGAAGGCGGCUAACUGGUCCAGAUCUGACGCUGAGGUGCGAAAGCGUGGGGAGCGAACAGG